AUAGGUAUUGGCAGGGGAGAUACUAUGAUCAUGAAAGUGGUUUUCCCAGGCUCAUCCAUUCCACUGCGGGUGUGAUGACCCCUGCGAUUUCCCCAAAUGCGGGAAACUCGACUGCAUAAUUUGUGGUAGUGGGGGACUGUGUUCAUGCUUUCCCCUG
Chrysemys picta bellii (western painted turtle) is the source of this 157-nucleotide small nuclear RNA. Its record names the gene U1. It matches the Rfam family "U1 spliceosomal RNA". From Rfam's summary of the family: U1 is a small nuclear RNA (snRNA) component of the spliceosome (involved in pre-mRNA splicing). Its 5' end forms complementary base pairs with the 5' splice junction, thus defining the 5' donor site of an intron. There are significant differences in sequence and secondary structure between metazoan and yeast U1 snRNAs, the latter being much longer (568 nucleotides as compared to 164 nucleotides in human). The record is from Ensembl. NCBI's taxonomy places the organism in Eukaryota, Metazoa, Chordata, Testudines, Emydidae.